RNA transcript from Cornus florida, 2228 nucleotides. RefSeq lists it as uncharacterized. NCBI's taxonomy places the organism in Eukaryota, Viridiplantae, Streptophyta, Magnoliopsida, Cornales, Cornaceae. The record is from RefSeq and is a predicted model, not a curated record. The transcript has 5 exons.
GGACCUGUUUAUAUACUGCAACCAGAGACUCUCUCUCUCUAGCCAGCAACGAUCGUCAAUGUUUUGCCAUCGUUUCAUCCAGGCUGAGGCAAUGGUUGCUGCUUGGAUAAGUAUGGCAGCAGAAAUUUUACAAGUAUGUUCCUUCAAUGGGCUCUAUAUUUUUCCAUAUUAUUUUUAAUGAAAAAUUAGGGGUACUGGUUCAGUAAUACUAUUCUUUACUUUGCUUCCAUGGUGACAAGGUUCUUGAAGGCAAAUUUUAUUUCUGCCAAGAACUUCAUCAAGUUGGGGAAAUUGUUUGCUUUGGGGCACACUUCAUGCUCAAACCCUAUCAAUGCCAACUUAUGGCUCUAUUGGGUGGGUUGCAGGCCCUCAAGUUGGAGGUAUGCUCAGUGUUAGUAGGGACCUAUCACACCUAAGGUUUAUUUGCAAUGAAUCAGAACAGUUUGAAUGCCGCUGCACAAGUGUGACAGUUAAGUAUUUUCCAACUAUAAUGUUCAAAGGAAUGGAGGGUAGUAGGUUGGAUGUGUGAGGCCCUCGUGGUGAGGGAAUAACAUUUUUCUCUAAAGAUGGAGUUCUGGAUCGUAUGUUUGAAUCAAACUUGGCACCACUAAGAUAUUGUGACUAUAAUGAGAGAGCAACCGAAAUUUACCCUUUCAAUUGCAAUGACUCUCCCUUGGGGGUGGCAGAAAUUUUUCUCCAGAUGGCAGACAUCUUACCAUGAUGCCAACCAGAGCGUUGCUUCUUGAUGUGGCAAUUCCCUUGGCAACCGAAGCACUGGAAUAUCAAAUAUGGACAAGAAAGGCCCUAUUCCAUGGUUGCAGAUGUUUUUAAAUGCCAGAGUGGUGCACUUUAAAAAGAAGUCCGAUAGCUUGAGAGGCAUGGUUCUUCUAUUACUGGGGAGGCUCAGAAGGCUGUUGAAGAUCAUCCUCCCCAGUUCGAUCCACUUUAUGCACAGUCACAUCUUCUGUAAGAACCAUGAAUUAUUAGGUCUUUGCUCAGCAUCUUUACAUAAAAUCAUUGCUAUUAGUAAUCAUUGUGCCAGAAAUUGAAUGGAUAAGAUUAUGUAGUGCUUGUUGCACAUGUUUUGUAAGUAAUCAUAUGACAUGCCAGUAAAUUUUGAACUGUAAAACCUUAUAGGCUGUGUUUUAUAUGCAAGUUUCGUAGAUUAGGGAUUGGAUGUAGAGUGCAUGACUCAUAACUGCGCUUUGUCUGUACGUGUUCAUUCUCUAUGAUUAUGCAUAUUUUAACUAGAAAAAAUUUAAUUAGGGUUGGGCUGUUUGCCACUUUAUAUUGAGUCAGUGGUGAUGACCAUGGACCCCCUCCUUGUCUUCCCUUGCAUUCAUUUUCGUCUCGAUACCAAGAGAGAGUGUGACAGUAGCUAUCAGGCACAGUUGAAAGUUGUUUAAACUAUUGGUUAUUGAUGCUUCAAAGCUCCAGAAAUAAAGAAAGAGAGAGAAAGAUGGGGGACAAAAUGCCAUUUUCGCAUUACUUUCCGUCUAUUUGAAUGCGUAAAGUUGUAAAGUUUUUGAUUGUGAUUUAAAUAUAUGCAUGAGAAUGGAAGAAUGUGUUAUGGGGAUGGUGGAGAGGAGACUAUACACUUUCGAGUUAAACGAUGAAAGUGUCUUUCUCUAUCAUGCAUUAAUGAUGCCUUCUCCACAUAUGCUAUGGUAGGCUGUCUCGGUAGCUCACGCACGUGUCCUGCUCUUAUUGUAGUUUGUGUUGAUCCUAGGAGAGUGUAGCAUGGUUCGUUGUAUCAGCCAUGACCAUUUUUCAAGGGUUCGAUAUCGUUAUACACUUUCAUAACCCGGCCGGUUCGGUCAGUUUAUAUCAAUAUUCCUUUGAGUCCGUUAUACCGUGAUCGUGAUAGAUACCGCGACUACAACCAUGAUUUGUAGAUGAACCUUAUGCAAUUGUUUUUUUCCAGGAUAACUAUGUUCACACAGGUGAAAUAGUCAAGGUAGCAGAUUAUUGUUGGUAUUUGGUAUGCCUAACUUUGAAUUUUACUGCCUCUUGAAAUGAGGAUGGUUGAUUUUUGUGUAAAACAUAUGACGACCCCCCAACCCACUUCCAUUUGUCCUUUAUUGUGGUGGAACCUGACAUUAACCCUCCUGAAGUGCUAAUCCCCAACACAAAUCCCUUCAUCUACAAUUGAUCCAUCAUCUUUGCUUUAAUUUCAUAUAGAUGGGUCGGUCGUAUCCCAUACAGAUAGAUUGGUUACAUAAUUUUUG